Molecule: ribosomal RNA, 253 nt
Filed under: uncultured bacterium
Lineage: Bacteria
Description: partial 16S ribosomal RNA
Rfam family: Bacterial small subunit ribosomal RNA
Source: RNAcentral
UACGGGGGGGGCAAGCGUUGUUCGGAAUUACUGGGCGUAAAGGGCGCGUAGGCGGUUGGAUAAGUCAGCUGUGAAAACCACGAGCUUAACUCGUGGCCUGCAGUUGAGACUGUCUGGCUUGAGUGUGGGAGAGGAGAGUGGAAUUCCUGGUGUAGCGGUGAAAUGCGCAGAUAUCAGGAAGAACACCCGUGGCUAAGGCGGCUCUCUAGUACGGUACUGACGCUGAGACGCGAAAGCGUGGGGAGCGAACAGG